AGGGGUUUGAUCAUCGGGCUCAGGAUUGAACGCUGGCGGCAUGCCUAACACAUGCAAGUCGAACGGUAACGUACGCGAGCUUGCUCCCGGGCGACGAGUGGCGGACGGGUGAGUAAUACUUAGGAAUCUGCCCAGUAGUGGGGGACAACUCGAGGAAACUCGAGCUAAUACCGCAUACGCCCUACGGGGGAAAGCGGAGGAUCUUCGGACUUCGCACUAUUGGGUGAGCCUAAGUCAGAUUAGCUUGUUGGUGGGGUAAAGGCCUACCAAGGCAACGAUCUGUAGCUGGUCUGAGAGGACGAUCAGCCACACUGGGACUGAGACACGGCCCAGACUCCUACGGGAGGCAGCAGUGGGGAAUAUUGGACAAUGGGGGCAACCCUGAUCCAGCAAUGCCGCGUGUGUGAAGAAGGCCUGCGGGUUGUAAAGCACUUUCAGUAGAGAAGAAAAGCUUACGGUUAAUACCCGUGAGUCUUGACGUAACCUACAGAAGAAGCACCGGCUAACUCCGUGCCAGCAGUCGCGGUUAAUACGGAGGGUGCAAGCGUUCAAUCGGAAUUACUGGG
Molecule: ribosomal RNA, 566 nt
Filed under: uncultured bacterium
Lineage: Bacteria
Description: bacterial SSU rRNA
Rfam family: Bacterial small subunit ribosomal RNA
Source: RNAcentral